Molecule: ribosomal RNA, 544 nt
Filed under: Advenella kashmirensis
Lineage: Bacteria; Pseudomonadati; Pseudomonadota; Betaproteobacteria; Burkholderiales; Alcaligenaceae
Description: bacterial SSU rRNA
Rfam family: Bacterial small subunit ribosomal RNA
Source: RNAcentral
AGUACGGUCGCAAGAUUAAAACUCAAAGGAAUUGACGGGGACCCGCACAAGCGGUGGAUGAUGUGGAUUAAUUCGAUGCAACGCGAAAAACCUUACCUACCCUUGACAUGUCUGGAAUCCUGAAGAGAUUUAGGAGUGCUCGCAAGAGAACCGGAACACAGGUGCUGCAUGGCUGUCGUCACUCGUGUCGUGAGAUGUUGGUUAAGUCCCGCAACGAGCGCAACCCUUGUCAUUAGUUGCUACAUUUAAAAGAGCACUCUAAUGAGACUGCCGGUGACAAACCGGAGGAAGGUGGGGAUGACGUCAAGUCCUCAUGGCCCUUAUGGGUAGGGCUUCACACGUCAUACAAUGGUCGGGACAGAGGGUUGCCAAACCGCAAGGUGGAGCCAAUCUCAUAAACCCGAUCGUAGUCCGGAUGCAGUCUGCAACUCGCCUGCAUGAAGUCGGAAUCGCUAGUAAUCGCGGAUCAGCAUGUCGCGGUGAAUACGUUCCCGGGUCUUGUACACACCGCCCGUCACACCAUGGGAGUGGGUUUUACCAGAAG